RNAcentral lists this ribosomal RNA (489 nucleotides) under uncultured bacterium. Its description in RNAcentral is "partial 16S ribosomal RNA". It matches the Rfam family "Bacterial small subunit ribosomal RNA", at positions 30 to 507 of the family's 1533-position model. The record is from RNAcentral.
AUUGAACGCUGGCGGCAGGCCUAACACAUGCAAGUCGAAUGGUAACAGGAAACAGCUUCUGUUUCGCUGACGAGUGGCGGACGGGUGAGUAAUGUCUGGGAAACUGCCUGAUGGAGGGGGAUAACUACUGGAAACGGUAGCUAAUACCGCAUAACGUCGCAAGACCAAAGAGGGGGACCUUCGGGCCUCUUGCCAUCAGAUGUGCCCAGAUGGGAUUAGCUAGUAGGUGGGGUAACGGCUCACCUAGGCGACGAUCCCUAGCUGGUCUGAGAGGAUGACCAGCCACACUGGAACUGAGACACGGUCCAGACUCCUACGGGAGGCAGCAGUGGGGAAUAUUGCACAAUGGGCGCAAGCCUGAUGCAGCCAUGCCGCGUGUAUGAAGAAGGCCUUCGGGUUGUAAAGUACUUUCAGCGGGGAGGAAGGGAGUAAAGUUAAUACCUUUGCUCAUUGAUGUUACCCGCAGAAGAAGCACCGGCUAACUCCGUG